GACCUGCGGAGGAUCAUUAAAAAAAUACGCCUGGUGAAAGUGUGAAAACACCGAAUCCAGUGCUGUAUACAACCACCUGUUUACCUUUACCUGUUUCUUCCGUGGAAUUACGGGUGCUCUUUCUGCUUGCAGCUUAGAGUUACCUUCCACGGGUGCAUUUUAAAAAUUGUUUUGUAUUAUUGUCUGAAAAAAAAUUAAAAGUUAAAACUUUCAACAACGGAUCUCUAGGUUCUCGCAUCGAUGAAGAACGCAGCGAAAUGCGAUAAGUAGUGUGAAUUGCAGAUUUCAGUGAAUCAUCGAAUCUUUGAACGCACAUUGCGCCCUCUGGUAUUCCGGAGGGCAUGCCUGUCUGAGCGUCAAUAAAUCAAUCAAACCUUGGUUUGGUAUUGGGAGAAGUGGCUUUGCCUCUCUCCUUUAAGCUAUUGGCGACGCUAUUUCAGCUUGUAAGAUGUAGUAGGUAAUUUCUCGUCAAAGCAACUGGAUGGAUGUCUGCCAAAUGAACGAUUUAUUUAACAGCUUGACCUCAGAUCAGGUAGGGAUACCCCCUGAACUUAAGCAUAUCAAUAAGCGGAGGA
This 575-nucleotide ribosomal RNA is filed under the name uncultured Pezizales. RNAcentral describes it as "eukaryotic LSU rRNA". The stretch from base 206 to 359 matches the Rfam family "5.8S ribosomal RNA". Lineage: Eukaryota; Fungi; Ascomycota; Pezizomycetes; Pezizales. The record is from RNAcentral.